GGAGUUAUGGCACUUUUACUAUGAUUUCAUCUGUCGUUUAGUUGUAGACACAUAAACGACCAUGAAACACCGACAGUGCUGUCACUUCUUCAGCAGCGCAGGUCAGCAAUCACUCAGGUGAUUCACCUCGAAGUCACGGUACUGCCUUAAGUAUGUAUGUACAAUUCAUAGCUAGGCUUUCCCCCUGGCUACAUAUUUAUGAAGCUACCAUAGUAGUGCUCGUAUUACUGGCCCUCCUGACGAAGUGAAUAAGCAAACAUUCAACUGCCACAGCAACAUACUAAAUGUGUGUAGAUGUAUUUUUAUGUGCAGCUGAAUGCAUAACAUUUUCUGAAAAUUAUUUCACUUUCGCCAUUGCAUUGGAGUAAUAAAAGCAACUACUACAUAAUUCGUUGGAAGACUUUUUAGCAACAGCAAGCGCAGCAACGCCAAACGUGAACGCAGCGAACGUGGAAAACUCUUCCGGAAAGCUCUACGACUUUGCUGGAUUUUAUACAUUAGAGUAUUACAUGCUUUUUUAACCAACCAGAAUACUACACGUUUGCGAAAACAUCUAAAUGAAUACCAUAAACCAUAAAAAAGCUGAUUUGGAACCAAAACGAUUGUCUGCUCGCAAAUUCGGAGAAUAUUGUGAAAUAAUUCAACCCGAAUUUCACUUAAAAAGGAAACCCCUUCUGCUCUAAUAUAAAAAGAAAAGUUGUGAAAUGCUCCGAUGGGAAGUCCGCAAUGCAAUGGAACAUCUACUUAGUAGUCGUUCGCUUUUAUGGUACUCCAUUCGCAGUGCUAUUUACAUAUGUACAUACAUACAUUUUUUAUUGGUUCGGUUCACUGUUCUGCUUACUCGCUUUCUGAUGAGAUACCUUUUGAAUUUCAUCAUAUUUCGAAAAGAUUUUC
Anastrepha obliqua is the source of this 894-nucleotide long non-coding RNA. RefSeq lists it as uncharacterized. The record is from RefSeq and is a predicted model, not a curated record. NCBI's taxonomy places the organism in Eukaryota, Metazoa, Arthropoda, Insecta, Diptera, Tephritidae. The transcript is spliced from 3 exons.